Molecule: ribosomal RNA, 429 nt
Filed under: uncultured bacterium
Lineage: Bacteria
Also listed under: 1 other name
Description: bacterial SSU rRNA
Rfam family: Bacterial small subunit ribosomal RNA
Source: RNAcentral
UGGGGAAUAUUGCGCAAUGGGGGCAACCCUGACGCAGCCAUGCCGCGUGAAUGAAGAAGGCCUUCGGGUUGUAAAGUUCUUUCGGUGAUGAGGAAGGCGGUUAGUUUAAUAGGCUAAUCGAUUGACGUUAAUCACAGAAGAAGCACCGGCUAACUCCGUGCCAGCAGCCGCGGUAAUACGGAGGGUGCGAGCGUUAAUCGGAAUAACUGGGCGUAAAGGGCACGCAGGCGGUUGCUUAAGUGAGGUGUGAAAUCCCCGGGCUUAACCUGGGAAUUGCAUUUCAGACUGGGCAGCUAGAGUAUUUUAGGGAGGGGUAGAAUUCCACGUGUAGCGGUGAAAUGCGUAGAGAUGUGGAGGAAUACCGAAGGCGAAGGCAGCCCCUUGGGGAAAUACUGACGCUCAUGUGCGAAAGCGUGGGGAGCAAACAGG